CACCGCCGUCGGAUUGAUCCGAUUUGCUCGCGAUUUGGACCCCGUUGAGGAGCUGAGGAGGAAUUUGAGAAGGAGAACUCGGAGGUGAAACCUGAGUAGAAGGACUUUUGGAAGAAGAAGAUAAUCCCGAGAGAGAUUUUGAGUAUGACCUGAAGGGAUUGAGAUUUCAUCUUCUUUCGUGAACUCCAAUUGAUGUGAAUAGUUAUGAAGUUCUUUAGUUGAUGUCAUGUAUAAAAGUUUGGUUAUAAAUUUCAAUAUGAAAAAUAUGACCCUGCUUUUCUA
Molecule: long non-coding RNA, 282 nt
Organism: Eucalyptus grandis
Lineage: Eukaryota; Viridiplantae; Streptophyta; Magnoliopsida; Myrtales; Myrtaceae
Exons: 2
Source: RefSeq, a predicted model, not a curated record